AGUGAACGCUGGCGGUAGGCCUAACACAUGCAAGUCGAACGGCAGCACAGUAAGAGCUUGCUCUUACGGGUGGCGAGUGGCGGACGGGUGAGGAAUACAUCGGCAUCUACUUUUUCGUGGGGGAUAACGUAGGGAAACUUACGCUAAUACCGCAUACGACCUACGGGUGAAAUCAGGGGAUCUUCGGACCUUGCGCGAUUGAAUGAGCCGAUGUCGGAUUAGCUAGUUGGCGGGGUAAAGGCCCACCAAGGCGACGAUCCGUAGCUGGUCUGAGAGGAUGAUCAGCCACACUGGAACUGAGACACGGUCCAGACUCCUACGGGAGGCAGCAGUGGGGAAUAUUGGACAAUGGGCGCAAGCCUGAUCCAGCCAUACCGCGUGGGUGAAGAAGGCCUUCGGGUUGUAAAGCCCUUUUGUUGGGAAAGAAAAGCAGCAGGUUAAUACCCCGCUGUUCUGACGGUACCCAAAGAGUAAGCACCGGCUAACUUCGUG
Molecule: ribosomal RNA, 492 nt
Filed under: uncultured bacterium
Lineage: Bacteria
Description: partial 16S ribosomal RNA
Rfam family: Bacterial small subunit ribosomal RNA
Source: RNAcentral